RNAcentral lists this ribosomal RNA (513 nucleotides) under uncultured bacterium. RNAcentral describes it as "partial 16S ribosomal RNA". It matches the Rfam family "Bacterial small subunit ribosomal RNA", at positions 28 to 523 of the family's 1533-position model. The record is from RNAcentral.
GACGAACGCUGGCGGCAUGCCUAAUACAUGCAAGUCGAGCGAACAGAUGAAGUGCUUGCACUUCUGACGUUAGCGGCGAACGGGUGAGUAACACGUAAGGAAUCUACCUAUAAGCGGGGGAUAACAUUCGGAAACGGGUGCUAAUACCGCAUAAUAUCUUCUUCCGCAUGGAAGGAGAUUGAAAGACGGCUCUGCUGUCACUUAUAGAUGACCUUGCGGUGCAUUAGUUAGUUGGUGGGGCAACGGCCUACCAAGACGAUGAUGCAUAGCCGACCUGAGAGGGUGAUCGGCCACAUUGGGACUGAGACACGGCCCAAACUCCUACGGGAGGCAGCAGUAGGGAAUCUUCCGCAAUGGGCGAAAGCCUGACGGAGCAAUGCCGCGUGAGUGAAGAAGGCCUUCGGGUCGUAAAACUCUGUUAUAAGAGAAGAACAAAUUGUAGAGUAACUGCUACAGUCUUGACGGUAUCUUAUCAGAAAGCCACGGCUAACUACAUGCCAGCCGCCGCAGUAA